GACGAACGCUGGCGGCGUGCUUAACACAUGCAAGUCGAGCGGAAAGGCCCUUCGGGGUACUCGAGCGGCGAACGGGUGAGUAACACGUGAGUAAUCUGCCCUUGGCUUUGGGAUAACUACCGGAAACGGUGGCUAAUACCGGAUACGACGCACUCAGGCAUCUGAUGUGUGUGGAAAGUUUUUUCGGCCAGGGAUGUGCUCGCGGCCUAUCAGCUUGUUGGUGGGGUAAUGGCCUACCAAGGCUUCGACGGGUAGCCGGCCUGAGAGGGUGACCGGCCACACUGGGACUGAGACACGGCCCAGACUCCUACGGGAGGCAGCAGUGGGGAAUAUUGGACAAUGGGCGGAAGCCUGAUCCAGCAACGCCGCGUGAGGGAUGACGGCCUCGGUUGUAACCGUACUUUCAGUACCGACGAA
This 417-nucleotide ribosomal RNA is filed under the name uncultured bacterium. RNAcentral describes it as "bacterial SSU rRNA". It matches the Rfam family "Bacterial small subunit ribosomal RNA", at positions 28 to 449 of the family's 1533-position model. The record is from RNAcentral.